GGCUUCCAGUGUUUGAAACAGAUUAUAUGUGUAAUGCAGUAGAACAGAGGUUUUCUACUAAAUUCCUGAGGAGCUACUGCAUUAUCAAGCUCUUCAUUAACUGGAUCAGGUAUGAUGCGGGCAGAGAAUACCUGAAAUGGUGCAGGACAGUGAGUCACCACAAGUGGAGUUGAAAAUAACUGCUGUAGAGGGAUCAUGCAGGCCCCAACGAUGACAGCCGAGAGAGCCGGCAGGAAUCACCAGCGGCAGAUCACGCAGCGGCAAUGCACCUUGGUGAGGACGCUGGGAAGAGAGCCGCAAGGGUGGAGGGGGCGGAGCGCAAAGCCCAAGCUCCCCCGACGUGCAGGAGUGACGGGGGGAGGAGAAGGACUACGCUGGUGCCAGCUAUGAGAGGCACCCGGGGCCCCACCCCCAGCUGGCAGCUCGACCGCCUGAGUCGAACGUAGAGGCCUCGCAUGCCACAAUAUGGUAAGUUAUAAAAAGUAGCAUCAAACCCAGGCUGAAUCCCAAAUGGCCCUAUAUUCCAUAAAUAGUGUGCCAGCUAGCUAUGAACGUUAGAAGUUUUGGCCUCUACAGCUUAUCAUUUAUCAAGUAUUCCAAGUAAAAGAGUCCCAAAUGACUAUUUCUUUGCUGUAUUUUGCACCUUUGGUGUGCAGGAUCCAGUACUUAAAUUCCUACGUAGUGCACUAUGCUUGGGUCAGGGAUCCGUUUGUGAUUGAGCACCAGCACAAGUAGGAUUGGUGGAUUGGUGCAUGUUGUGAUGGUAAAUUGGUGGCAAAAAAACUACUUAUAAAGCAAAAGCAUUUGCAUUAAACAGUGUUGUGUUAUCAUGUGCUCUUGAAAUGACCGUAAUAUACACGAUGGGUGAUCAACCAUUCUUCUCCUCAUUCAGGAGCCCAUGGUUGCUCAGUUUUGUGUCAUGCCUAAAAACACCCUUUCUGUGAUAAAAUCAGAGUAUGGCACAGCCUCAAGUGGCUUAUUACUUAAUACAUAAAAAAUCAACAGUGACCCGUUAUGUCUGAUAUAACUGGCAGAUAUGAUGGAGAAGACAAAUAACAUCAGUGUGACCUUUAUUUAUUAAUAGUCAUUCAUUUUGAUGUCAGUCAUAUUCAGUGUAUGACAUUGCAUCUAAGUAUCACAAUGAUCAACUUUAGAUGUGUGCUUGGGGAACAAAUAGCAUCUGUGUAAAGCUGUGUGUUUACUUCCCAAAUAGCAUGUCUAAACCUAUUUCUGAAAUCUUUCCUGUUGGUGAGUUACACUCAUGGAAAACAGAAGUAGUGACACUAUUUCCAGCAUUUAAACCAUUUUAUUCAGACAGUUGCUUAAAA
Long non-coding RNA from Pygocentrus nattereri (red-bellied piranha), 1328 nucleotides. Lineage: Eukaryota; Metazoa; Chordata; Actinopteri; Characiformes; Serrasalmidae. The record is from Ensembl.